This 235-nucleotide ribosomal RNA is filed under the name uncultured bacterium. Its description in RNAcentral is "partial 16S ribosomal RNA". It matches the Rfam family "Bacterial small subunit ribosomal RNA", at positions 99 to 334 of the family's 1533-position model. The record is from RNAcentral.
CGAACGGGUGAGUAACACGUGAGGAACCUGCCCCGAAGACCGGGAUAACAGCGGGAAACCGCUGCUAAUACCGGAUACCUUCCUUUGAUCGCAUGGUCGUUGGAAGAAAUGGAUUCCGCUUCGGGAGGGCCUCGCGGUCUAUCAGCUUGUUGGUGGGGUAACGGCCUACCAAGGCAACGACGGAUAGCUGGUCUGAGAGGACGAUCAGCCACACUGGGACUGAGACACGGCCCAG